GCUUUGCUAUAAGUGGUGACAUCUGGCUUUUUCAUGUUUGACUGUACCAAGUAAGUAGAACAAUUUGACCAAAAAAUGUUUUGACAGUUUUAAACAGUGUAUUUUCAGGGAGAUUUCUUUUUUUUGUUUGUUUAUUAUUCAAACUUGUUUUUUUGUUUUUUUUCUUCUUUGGACAUUUAUGGUGGAUUGAUGAUAUGUAAGGUAUGUAUUUGCCACUUUCACUUCUGAUGGUUUUGAUCAAUCGAUUAAUCAAAGUCCCUGAGGAAAACACAGCUUUAAUGUUAAUUCUUUAU
Pelobates cultripes (western spadefoot toad) is the source of this 293-nucleotide non-coding RNA. Lineage: Eukaryota; Metazoa; Chordata; Amphibia; Anura; Pelobatidae. The record is from the annotation of a GenBank genome assembly.